GGUUUGUUCCAGAUCCUACUGCUCAGCACACAGAAAGCCAGUCACUGAGACGAUGGUUACUGCCAGUGAAGAAGGCGUGCAUCAGGAGCUGCAGGCUAGGAGAUGGGAGAUGCCGUGAUCUGCUGAGUCUCUGUUCCUUCACACUACCCGGGAGGCCUGAUGGUCAGUUUCCUGAGAAAGGAACUCAAAUAAGACACAUGUCACAUUCUCAAGUUUCAAGACCACAAGGAUCCAUUUCUAUGUUAUUCAGAGAAACCAUGAACAUCAGUUCUCUGGGACAAUCAGGUCAGUUCAACACCAGACCCGAUCUGCCAUGACGCCUGCUGCUCAGCCCUCAGAUAAAGUCCAGAAUCCAGUGUCCUCUCUCCAACCCCAGCCUGGUCCCACACCCAGACCUCCCCGCUACGCCCUGGGCCUCACUGCUGUCCCACCGCAGAGGGGUCAGGGAGCUGCACACACCCCGCGUGCACCUGGGCAUGUCGCAUAUUUCAGAUGCACCUGGUGUCACUGUUCACACAAACCGGAGUGGGAAGAGAUCCAAAUGCUCGUUCACGGCAGAUGGGUGAGGACGUCCCAGCAAGUCCGUCAGGGGAGUCAGCCAGCCCAAGGCGAGUGAGGGACCUCCGGAGACAUGAAUGGGUCUCAGACAGUGUGUGAGUGGACGAAGCAGCAAAAACACACACUGCUAGUUCAGUCAGUUCUGUUGAGCUCAGAAUAGUCCACAUCACGUUGAUGUUUCUAACCUGGGGCGCACAUUCUUCAUUCAGAAUAUGGCAAGGACUUUAGAAGUCAUCUAAAGUAUCAAUAAUUUGAAGUCCUUUAAUACAAAAAGUAUAGAAUAUUACCUUUGUCACAUAGCAACAGGGAAAUGAAAAAAGAAAAUUGACUUAUGUUCUUUAAUGGCUAGGAAAAUGUUCUUAAAAAGGUAUUUCAAGCACAGGUGAAUCUAAGAAAUGACCAAUUUCUUUCUUUACAUAGAUAAAUAUAAGGUUCGAUCCCUGUAAAUAAAUGAAGCCAUUAAGGGUAGAGUCCCACAGAUCACAGAACUGACCCAGCAUCCAGCUCUGCUCACGAUUUCAGGGAGUAAUUUCCAGGCACAGGUCGAGCUGGAGAAGCUGGGGACCCUUGUGGCCCCACUGUCCUUCCUGCCUCACAGGGUCUCUGAGGGGUGCCUGGAACAUUUCCUCUUGGGCUUUGAAGAUCAUUUCACUGAAACGCGACAUUUUCCAGGUGCCAUGGGCCUGAGCCCAGAAACUUCACCUGCGACAGUGGCUCCCCAGGAGUGAGCACCAGGCACUGUCAGGGGUUCUCUCCCAGCACUUUUACAAGGACUUGAUGGGUUCUUCUUCCUUCAGGAGCAAUCCCAGUGGGCAGAGGGAGGGGACGGGAGGCCUGGCAAAUGCUCCUCCCCAGCUCUGUUCCGAGCUCCAUGGGGCUCUGGCAGGCCUGACAUCUCGUGCAGAUGAGGGAUUAGGGUUCCUCCCCUGCCUCACUGCUCUCAGGCCCUCAUGGCACCCUCCCCACCCCCGCAGCCGGCGGACCCUGCUCCCACCCAGCUGUUCUCAGGACUCUCAUCCUUCCAGGACGACACCCUACCUGGAGCACCCGUUCCUGUGGCGCCCCCAGUCCUGCACUGCAGCAUUCACCCUGUCACCUCCAUGGCGAGACCAUCCUGGAACCGUGAUCAGCCCAUCGGUGUCAUCCACUGUCCUCCUAGCCCAUUUUCUGUGCUUGUUCCUCAUUCCCAAAACAUCCUGAAAUUACAAGAAAUUAACUUUUUUCAAGUCUCUGUGCUUCUGAGGCACGUGGACUCCCUUUAAUCCAGUGACUGUCAGGUCGAUCAUAUGUAAAUAUCAGCAGAUGGACACGCCUGGGCUUCUUUGUAUCCGACCCGCUUGGGUACCCGCUGUGUUUCCUUUGUCUGUGGGUCUGUAUCACUUUCCUCCCUUCUGGAAUUCCGCUUAGAUGAGCGUAGGCCCUUUCAUCCCUCUCCCCCCGUCUCUGUACCUUUUCAUGUCUCUCCGUGUCUGUUUGCUUUAUUCUUUAUUCUGAUUAUUGUUAAUGUACUGUUUGUUUAACCUGUCCUUUCAGUUUCUAAUUCUAAAGAUGACAUAUAUUUAAAAUUUCUAAAUUAUUAGUUACUUUUACAUCUUAUCUGGGUGUUUCUGAUAGACAUUGCUUAUUUAUUUUUGUGAUUCCAUCCUUUAUUUAUUCAAAUUUUUUUUUUUUUUUGAGAUGGAGUCUCGC
Chlorocebus sabaeus (green monkey) is the source of this 2247-nucleotide non-coding RNA. NCBI's taxonomy places the organism in Eukaryota, Metazoa, Chordata, Mammalia, Primates, Cercopithecidae. The record is from RefSeq and is a predicted model, not a curated record.